Molecule: ribosomal RNA, 410 nt
Filed under: Cardinium endosymbiont of Bemisia tabaci
Lineage: Bacteria; Pseudomonadati; Bacteroidota; Cytophagia; Cytophagales; Amoebophilaceae
Description: bacterial SSU rRNA
Rfam family: Bacterial small subunit ribosomal RNA
Source: RNAcentral
AGGCAUGGACUCACCAAGGCUACGAUGGGUAGGGGUUCUUAGUGGAAGAUCCCCCACACUGGCACUGAGAUACGGGCCAGACUCCUACGGGAGGCAGCAGUAGGGAAUAUUGGUCAAUGGGCGAAAGCCUGAACCAGCCAUGCCGCGUGCAGGAUGACAGCUCUCUGAGUUGUAAACUGCUUUUGUACAGGAGCAAAACAAUCCCUGCGGGGGUUCUUGAGAGUACUGUAAGAAUAAGCACCGGCUAAUUCCGUGCCAGCAGCCGCGGUAAUACGGAAGGUGCAAGCGUUAUCCGGUUUUAUUGGGUUUAAAGGGUGCGUAGGCGGCUUAUUAAGUCAGUUGUGAAAUCCUAGUGCUUAACGCUAGAACUGCAAUUGAUACUAUUAGGCUUGAGUAAAGGAAUAGGUACA